RNAcentral lists this ribosomal RNA (262 nucleotides) under uncultured bacterium. RNAcentral describes it as "partial 16S ribosomal RNA". It matches the Rfam family "Bacterial small subunit ribosomal RNA", at positions 92 to 354 of the family's 1533-position model. The record is from RNAcentral.
UUAGUGGCGGACGGGUGAGUAACGCGUGGGUAACCUGCCGUAUACUGGGGGAUAACACCUGGAAACAGGUGCUAAUACCGCAUAAGCGCACGGGACCGCAUGGUCCAGUGUGAAAAACCGAGGUGGUAUGCGAUGGACCCGCGUCUGAUUAGCCAGUUGGCAGGGUAACGGCCUACCAAAGCGACGAUCAGUAGCCGGCCUGAGAGGGUGGACGGCCACAUUGGGACUGAGACACGGCCCAAACUCCUACGGGAGGCAGCAG